GACGUAGGGCGCGAGCGUUGUCCGGAUUCAUUGGGCGUAAAGAGCUCGUAGGCGGUUUGGCAAGUCGGGUGUGAAAUCUCCGGGCUCAACUCGGAGAGGCCACUCGAUACUGCUAUGACUAGAGUCCGGUAGGGGACUAUGGAAUUCCUGGUGUAGCGGUGGAAUGCGCAGAUAUCAGGAGGAACACCGAUGGCGAAGGCAGCUCGCUGGGACGGUACUGACGCUGAGACGCGAAAGCGUGGGGAGCGAACAGG
Molecule: ribosomal RNA, 254 nt
Filed under: uncultured bacterium
Lineage: Bacteria
Description: partial 16S ribosomal RNA
Rfam family: Bacterial small subunit ribosomal RNA
Source: RNAcentral